RNAcentral lists this ribosomal RNA (449 nucleotides) under uncultured bacterium. Its description in RNAcentral is "bacterial SSU rRNA". It matches the Rfam family "Bacterial small subunit ribosomal RNA", at positions 331 to 793 of the family's 1533-position model. The record is from RNAcentral.
CCAGACUCCUACGGGAGGCAGCAGUGGGGAAUAUUGGGCAAUGGGCGCAAGCCUGACCCAGCAACGCCGCGUGAAGGAAGAAGGCUUUCGGGUUGUAAACUUCUUUUGUCAGGGACGAAGCAAGUGACGGUACCUGACGAAUAAGCCACGGCUAACUACGUGCCAGCAGCCGCGGUAAUACGUAGGUGGCGAGCGUUAUCCGGAUUUAUUGGGUGUAAAGGGCGUGUAGGCGGGAAUGCAAGUCAGGGGUGAAAACUCCGGGCUCAACCUGGAGACUGCACUUGAAACUGGGUGUCUUGAGGGCAGGAGAGGAAAGUGGAAUUCCUAGUGUAGCGGUGAAAUGCGUAGAUAUUAGGAGGAACACCAGUGGCGAAGGCGACUUUCUGGACUGUACCUGACGCUGAGGCGCGAAAGCGUGGGUAGCGAACGGGAUUAGAUACCCGGGUAAG